UCGCGGGGAAAUAACGGGGAAUUCCCGAUUGGAAACAUCCCAGAACCUUCCAGAACCUUCCAGAACCUCCUGGAACAUCCCAGAACCUUCCAGAGCAUCCCAGAGCAUCCCAGAGCAUCCCAGAACCUUCCAGAACCUUCCAGAGCAUCCCAGAACAUCCCAGACCAUCCCAGGCUCCAUCAUCAUUGGGAAUUCCCUGCUGGAAUCGGCCCUGGAACCUUCCGGAACCUCCCAGAACCUUCCAGAACCUCCCGGAACCUUCCAGAACCUUCCAGAACCUCCCAGAAGUUUCCAGAACCUUCCGGAACCUUCCAGCCCCCUCCGGCUCAUCCCACAUUUCCCCUCCCCCCUCGUUCCUGGCUGGAUUUUCGGGAAGGAGCCGAAUUUUGGGAUGGAGCAGGAAUUUUUGGGCUGGGAUUUUUGGGAUGGGAUUUUUGGGAUGGGACAGGAAUUUUUUGGGAUGGAUGGAACAGGAAUUUUUUGGGAUGGACAGAGUGGAAUUUCGGGGACCCCCCCCCCGUGCCAAUAAAAUCGGUUUCCACCCCUCCGUCUCCCCCUCCCCAAAUGACAGAAAACAGCCGAGACCCCUCCCCAAAACGGAGCAUCCAAAGGCUUUUAAUUCCCAAAAAUUCCCAAAAAAAACCCGGGAAAGGGG
Molecule: long non-coding RNA, 655 nt
Filed under: Cyanistes caeruleus (blue tit)
Lineage: Eukaryota; Metazoa; Chordata; Aves; Passeriformes; Paridae
Description: lncRNA (ENSCCEG00000013568.1)
Source: RNAcentral